AGCGUAUAUUAAAGUUGUUGCAGUUAAAAAGCUCGUAGUUGAAUUUCGGGAUUAGUACGUUGGUCGUGCCUUCGGUACGUACUGGUGUUACUGAUUCCUACCUUCUGACGAACCAUCAUGUCAUUAAUUUGGUGUGGCGGGGAAUCAGGACUGUUACUUUGAAAAAAUUAGAGUGUUUAAAGCAGGCUCGCGCUUGAAUACAUUAGCAUGGAAUAAUGAAAUAGGACGUUGACCCUAUUUUGUUGGUUUCUAGGAUUGACGUAAUGAUUAAUAGGGAUAGUUGGGGGCAUUAGUAUUCAAUUGUCAGAGGUGAAAUUCUUGGAUUUAUUGAAGACUAACUACUGCGAAAGCAUUUGCCAAGGAUGUUUUCAUUAAUCAAGAACGAAAGUUAGGGGAUCGAAGACGAUCAGAUACCGUCGUAGUCUUAACCAUAAACUAUGCCGACUAGGGAUCGGAUGAUGUUAUUUUUAAUGACUC
This 477-nucleotide ribosomal RNA is filed under the name uncultured Glomeromycotina. Its description in RNAcentral is "SSU rRNA". It matches the Rfam family "Eukaryotic small subunit ribosomal RNA", at positions 596 to 1077 of the family's 1831-position model. Lineage: Eukaryota; Fungi; Glomeromycota. The record is from RNAcentral.